This is a long non-coding RNA of Cyprinus carpio (common carp), 2628 nucleotides long. NCBI's taxonomy places the organism in Eukaryota, Metazoa, Chordata, Actinopteri, Cypriniformes, Cyprinidae. The record is from Ensembl.
AUGCUCCCAUCUCCCAGGCAGGCCUGUUCGGCGACACUGUCGAGGACUUUGCCCAGCAGUUCUCAGCAGUGCAAAAGCAGACUGAGGCCAUCCAACACAUCUUGCCCCGACGUGAUCCUCCGGUUGCCACCAUUCCGUCGCGGGCAGCGCCUCAGCCUGCUCGUCGCCGUGGGCGCCCCCCUGCGUCCUCCACACCAGCUCCGCCCCGUGCUGAGAGUUCUUCGAGGCCGGCGCGUCGAGCCCCGCGCAGGAGAGCGGCGCCCCCCGUGUCACUCCCGGCUGCGAAGUCCUCGAGGAAGACGACUAAGCGGCCCUGACACGGGCAACUCGGAGAUGUGGGAGACUGCUCUUCAGGAGUUGGCGGAAACAGCGCCACUCCUUCCCCCGGAGGAGGGCCGGGUGGAGAAUCUUCAGUUUACGUUUCUUUCUGUUCCGCCGCUGGUCCAACGGCCGGCGGCACCCACUUUUUCAAUAAAAGAGCAAUUUCCCUUUCCUCCGAGUUGCAAGGCUCGUGGGUUGACGAUGAGCGACGCACUGCCUCCUCAUUCUCACCCACGACGCCCCCCUUCGCCAGCGGUCAAGAGGUCGCGGUUCGGAGACGCAACGCCUCUCCACGCGUCUCUGGCCAGUUCCUCCGGGAACACGGGGAGUGUGGCUGUGAUGACUCGGAACGCGAUGCUUUCUGGGCCAUCCGACACAGCUCCCCAUCGCUGCACCACUGCGGGUAUGUCGACUGUCCCUUUGGUGCCACUUGUACGGAGUUUGGGAGCGUGGCUUGCGCUGCCCAACCCGUCACGCUGGCUCAUUCGGACGGUCCGACUCGGUUACGCGAUUCAGUUCGCCCGGCGACCUCCCAAGUUCAAUGGCGUGCUCGAGACUUCGGUGGCAGUCCGGGACGCCUCUGUCUUGCGCGAGGAGAUUGCUGUCCUCCUGGCGAAGGAUGCAAUCGAGCCGGUCCCUCCAGCCGAGAUGAGGACGGGGUUUUACAGCCCUUACUUCAUCGUACCCAAGAAAAGCGGUGGCCUUCGACCUAUCCUGGAUCUGCGAGUCUUGAAUCGGGCCCUGCACAAGCUCCCGUUCAAGAUGUUGACGCAGAAACGCAUUAUCAAAUGCGUUCAGCCCCAGGACUGGUUUGCAGCGAUCGACCUGAAAGACGCGUACUUUCAUGUCUCGAUCCUCCCUCGUCACAGACCGUUUCUGCGGUUUGCAUUCGAGGGUCAGGCAUGGCAGUACAAGGUCCUCCCCUUCGGGCUCUCCCUGUCUCCCCGUGUCUUCACGAAGGUCGCGGAGGGCGCCCUUGCCCCACUUUGGGAAGUGGGCGUCAGGAUCCUCAACUAUCUCGACGACUGGCUCAUUAUGGCCCGGUCCCGAGAGGAGUUGUGCGAUCACAGGGACUUCGUGCUCCGGCACCUCAGUCAGUUGGGGCUUCAGGUCAACCGAGAGAAGAGCAAGCUCUCCCCUGCGCAGAGAAUCUCUUAUCUCGGUAUGGAGUUAGACUCGGUGAGUAUGACGGCACGUCUCACCAGCGAGCGUGCCCAGUCAGUGCUGAACUGCCUGAGUUCCUUCAGAGGCAGGACAGUGGUACCACUGAAACACUUUCAGAGGCUCCUGGGGCAUAUGGCAUCCGCAGCCGCAGUCACGCCGCUCGGGUUGCUUCAUAUGAGGCCACUUCAGCACUGGUUGCACUCCCGAGUCCCGAGAUGGGCAUGGCGCCGCGGUACACAUCGUGUCACCAUCACACCGAUGUGUCGCCGCCAAUUCAGCCCCUGGUCAGACCUUGCCUUUCUACGGGCCGGCGUGCCCUUAGAACAAGUGUCCCGGCAUGUUGUUGUCACAACAGAUGCCUCCAAAACGGGCUGGGGCGCGACAUGCAACGGGCAGGCAGCUUCAGGGUCCUGGACAGGACCUCGACUGCUUUGGCACAUCAACUGUCUGGAGUUGCUGGCAGUGCAUCUAGCUUUACGGCGGUUUCGGCCGCUGUUGCUGGACAAGCACGUGUUGGUCCGCACGGACAACACUGCGGCUGUUUCGUACAUCAACCGACAGGGCGGUCUACGAUCACGUCGCAUGUCUCAACUCGCCCGCCAUCUCCUCCUCUGGAGUCAGACGCGGCUCAAGUCGCUGCGCGCUAUCCACAUCCCAGGGGAGCUCAAUCGUGCAGCCGAUGCGCUCUCACGACAGCUCACUUUCCCUGGGGAAUGGCGACUCCAUCCCCAGACGGUCCAGCUGAUCUGGAGUCGAUUCGGGGAAGCCCAGGUAGAUCUGUUUGCUUCCCACGAGUCCUCCCACUGCCAGCUGUACUAUUCCCUGUCCCAGGCCCCCCUGGGCACGGAUGCACUGGCACACAGCUGGCCUCGGGCUCUACGCAAGUAUGCGUUUCCCCCAGUGAGCCUGCUCGCACAGACACUGUGCAAGGUCAGGGAGGACGAGGAACAGGUCCUGUUGGUUGCGCCUUACUGGCCCACCCGGACCUGGUUUUCGGAACUCAUGCUCCUCGUGACAGCCCCUCCCUGGCGCAUCCCCCUGAGGAGGGACCUCCUCUCUCAGGGGCUGGGCACCAUUUGGCACCCGCGUCCAGAUCUCUGGAACCUCCACGUGUGGCUUCUGGAUGGGACGCGGCAGACCUAA